Molecule: small nuclear RNA, 195 nt
Organism: Hippoglossus stenolepis (Pacific halibut)
Lineage: Eukaryota; Metazoa; Chordata; Actinopteri; Pleuronectiformes; Pleuronectidae
Product: U2 spliceosomal RNA
Exons: 1
Source: RefSeq, a predicted model, not a curated record
AUCGCUUCUCGGCCUUUUGGCUAAGAUCAAGUGUAGUAUCUGUUCUUAUCAGUUUAAUAUCUGAUAUGUCCUCUAUAUGAGGACUACAUAUUAAGCAGAUUUUUGCAUAGGCAUGGGGGAGAAAUUUGGAGCUUGCUCCUUUCUCUCCACGCAUCGACCUAGCAUUGCAGUGUCGCUGGGAACGGUGCACUCUGU